GACGAACGCUGGCGGCGUGCUUAACACAUGCAAGUCGAACGGAAAGGCCCUGCUUUUGUGGGGUGCUCGAGUGGCGAACGGGUGAGUAACACGAGAGUAACCUGCCCUUGACUUUGGGAUAACUUCAGGAAACUGGGGCUAAUACCGGAUAGGAGCACCAGCUGCAUGGUGGGGGUUGGGAGGUUUCGGCGGUCGGGGAUGGACUCGCGGCUUAUCAGCUUGUUGGUGGGGGAGUGGCUUACCAAGGCUUUGACGGGUAGCCGGCCUGAUAGGGUGACCGGCCACAUUGGGACUGAGAUACGGCCCAGACUCCUACGGGAGGCAGCAGUGGGGAAUAUUGCACAAUGGGCGGAAGCCUGAUGCAGCAACGCCGCGUGCUGGAUGACGGCCUUCGUGUUGUAAACCGCGUUCGCCUGUGACGAAGCGUGAGUGACGGUAAUGGGUAAAGAAGCACCGGCUAACUACGUG
RNAcentral lists this ribosomal RNA (468 nucleotides) under uncultured bacterium. RNAcentral's name for it is "partial 16S ribosomal RNA". It matches the Rfam family "Bacterial small subunit ribosomal RNA", at positions 28 to 507 of the family's 1533-position model. The record is from RNAcentral.